UACGUAGGGUGCAAGCGUUGUCCGGAAUUAUUGGGCGUAAAGAGCUCGUAGGCGGUUUGUUGCGUCGGCUGUGAAAUCCCGAGGCUCAACCUCGGGUCUGCAGUCGAUACGAGCAAACUAGAGUGUUGCAGGGGAGACUGGAAUUCCUGGUGUAGCGGUGAAAUGCGCAGAUAUCAGGAAGAACACCAAUGGCGAAGGCAGCUCUCUGGGACGGUACUGACGCUGAUACGCGAAAGCGUGGGGAGCGAACAGG
Molecule: ribosomal RNA, 253 nt
Filed under: uncultured bacterium
Lineage: Bacteria
Description: partial 16S ribosomal RNA
Rfam family: Bacterial small subunit ribosomal RNA
Source: RNAcentral